CCUAACACAUGCAAGUCGAACGAGCGAGAGAGAGUUUACUUUUUCGAGCGAGUGGCGAACGGGUGAGUAACGCGUGAGGAACCUGCCUCAAAGAGGGGGACAACAGUUGGAAACGACUGCUAAUACCGCAUAAGCCCACGACCCGGCAUCGGGUAGAGGGAAAAGGAGCAAUCCGCUUUGAGAUGGCCUCGCGUCCGAUUAGCUAGUUGGUGAGGUAAUGGCCCACCAAGGCGACGAUCGGUAGCCGGACUGAGAGGUUGAACGGCCACAUUGGGACUGAGACACGGCCCAGACUCCUACGGGAGGCAGCAGUGGGGAAUAUUGCACAAUGGGGGAAACCCUGAUGCAGCGACGCCGCGUGGAGGAAGAAGGUCUUCGGAUUGUAAACUCCUGUUGUUGAGGAAGAUAAUGACGGUACUCAACAAGGAAGUGACGGCUAACUACGUGCCAGCAGCCGCGGUAAAACGUAGGUCACAAGCGUUGUCCGGAAUUACUGGGUGUAAAGGGAGCGCAGGCGGGAAGACAAGUUGGAAGUGAAAUCCAUGGGCUCAACCCAUGAACUGCUUUCAAAACUGUUUUUCUUGAGUAGUGCAGAGGUAGGCGGAAUUCCCGGUGUAGCGGUGGAAUGCGUAGAUAUCGGGAGGAACACCAGUGGCGAAGGCGGCCUACUGGGCACCAACUGACGCUGAG
RNAcentral lists this ribosomal RNA (690 nucleotides) under uncultured Lachnospiraceae bacterium. RNAcentral describes it as "bacterial SSU rRNA". It matches the Rfam family "Bacterial small subunit ribosomal RNA", at positions 47 to 750 of the family's 1533-position model. Lineage: Bacteria; Bacillati; Bacillota; Clostridia; Lachnospirales; Lachnospiraceae. The record is from RNAcentral.